AAAAAUUCCCAAACCCUCCAAAACCCCUAAAACCAAAAAUCUCUCAAUUCUUCCGUUUCCCUCUGAAAUAUUAAAAAUUGUUAUUGUUCUAUUUUCAUCAAUUCAAAUUUUAAUUCUUCAGAUCUCUGAUUCAAUUCAUGGACUCGCCUUCCCUUGAGGAUCACGCUCGAAUCGCUAUUGCCGGAGAGACGUCUAUUAGAAGGGACACUUUUACAGAACAGCCUCUUUCGCCCAAAGAUGAAAGGAUUGUUUCAGCAAAUCCUUCUCCGGAUGCAGCCAUCAUAGGGCCAUCAAGAGAUGUUACAGACCAACCACAAUCUUCUGAUGCUGGUGGAGAUCUUAGUAUUCUACCUCCGCACAAUACUUAUGCUUCACAUGAACAGAUGUUAUCAUAUGGCAGUUAUGGCAAUAGUGCCAGUGCUUGGGAUGGAUAUCCUCAGUAUCUUAAUGCUGCUGAUGGCAUGCAUAUAUCUCCGGUUGUCUACAAUGAUAAUCCCUCUCUCAUGUUUCAUUCUGGUUAUGGCUUCAAUCCUGAGAUGGCAUAUGGGCAGUAUUCUCCAGUUGCUACACCUUUGCCUUCUAUAAUGCUAGAAAGCCCGUUAUACUCUCCGAAGCAGAUCCCAUUUUCACCAUCUUUCUAUCCACAACAUGCUCCUCCCAAUGUGCCUUCAUCAGUUCCUGUUUCUUCAUCUGAGCUCAUGACAUCAGAUUGUAAUACUGAUAACUCGCGUUUUGGGCCAGGAUCUGGUUACUUGGUACAGUUUGGAUCGUUUGGUGGAGGGAACAUGUCUGGGAUACCUGGCUCUGGCCCAUUAACAUCCCCAGCAGUAUAUCCUCAACCAAUGGGUAUACUUGGGCCAUAUGAACACCAUAUGCAACAGAUUUCUCAACAAAGAUUGCAUGGAUAUGGACUAACAUCAACUUCCUCUGUUGGACGCUACCAGCAUGGUGGCUCUUUUCAGAGCUCCAAUAUUGGCAGUGGUUCUGUUUCUUAUCCGGGGGUUUAUGAUCGGGUGCAGCUUUCUCUUGAUAAGGGUAGAAGAAGAGAGAGGGAUCAGGAUUCAGUUUACACUUCUAAUGAUUCUUUUAGUUUUGACCGUAAUCGAGGACCAAGGGCUUCAAAGAUUAAGGGCAAGACGACUGAACAGAGCUCUCAAUUUGGUAAUGGCAAAGAUGAUUCAUCUAGCUCUCAAUUUCAGCUAGAUUUGUACAAUAGGCCAGAUUUUGUCUCUGAUUAUGAGAAUGCCAAGUUCUUUGUAAUAAAAUCUUUCAGUGAAGACAAUGUCCAUAAAAGCAUUAAGUACAGUGUGUGGGCCAGCACGCCGCAUGGAAAUAAAAAACUAGAUGCUGCAUAUCACGAGGCAAAGGAGAAUGGAAGCAACUGUCCGGUCUUUCUGUUGUUUUCGGUCAAUGCUAGUGGGCAGUUCUGCGGGAUAGCUCAAAUGGUUGGACCUGUCGAUUUUGACAAAGAUGCUGAUUACUGGCAACAAGACAGAUGGAGUGGUCAGUUCCCAGUUCAGUGGCAUAUUAUCAAAGAUGUUCCUAACCGUCAAUUCCGACACAUACUACUAAAAAAUAAUGAUAACAAGCCUGUCACUCAUAGUCGGGAUGCUCAGGAGGUGAAACUGGAACAAGGUAUUGAAAUGUUGAGAAUUUUCAAGGAACACUCUGUGCACACAUCUAUUCUAGAUGAUUUUGGUUUUUACAAUCAGCGGGAGAAAGCUUUAAAGGAAAGGAGGGCCAAACAAGCAGCAAAUCUGACUGCAGAUACUUCAUGUCUACUUGCUGAUGAUACUGUAAAUCAAAUAUCUGGUAGUUUUGCCCAAAAUCUCCACUUGGAAGAUGGUAGUAAAGAAACAUCAGCAAUGGUAGCGAAUUGUAGCUCAACUCCUGAUUGUGGAGUUUAAUCUACUAAUGAUCUGAACACUGAGCUUUCAUUUGUUGAGAAUUCCAUUAGUCAUAGCUUGUCAAAAACUUUGAAUUUAGAAGAGGGCAACAAGGUUCUGGCUCCCGCUUUGGAUGGUAAGCACGAGGGUUAAGGCUGUCGAUAAGCGGACCACAGGUUGUAUUAACAGAGUGGAGUUGGCUUGUAGUUGAUGCUUCUGUGCCAGAUGUUGGGAGGUUGGUCAGGCCAGGAAGUCAACAGUUUUAGUAUCUCACUAAUUUGGUAUUAAAUGUUUGAUUUUCUUUGGAUUUCUUUUUCGGAUGCUAAAACUGGCUGCAGAAUGUGGGGGUAGAUUGCAUACUAUUGUGCUUGAUGCCUAAUUUGGAUGUAAUUUUAGGUUCUGUAGUUUUCUCAGGACUCUUGGCUAGUGGAAAAGAUUUGUAGAGUUGCCCCCUUUUUGGGUAACAAAAUUAUAAUAAUUAAAAGGAGAAAAAUUGCAAAAAUUGUCUUUUUGAAUUUUCA
Molecule: unclassified non-coding RNA, 2407 nt
Filed under: Hevea brasiliensis (rubber tree)
Lineage: Eukaryota; Viridiplantae; Streptophyta; Magnoliopsida; Malpighiales; Euphorbiaceae
Source: RNAcentral